This 291-nucleotide long non-coding RNA is filed under the name Capsella rubella. RNAcentral's name for it is "long non-coding RNA (CRUB_LNC004236)". The record is from RNAcentral. Lineage: Eukaryota; Viridiplantae; Streptophyta; Magnoliopsida; Brassicales; Brassicaceae.
GGCCUUGUACCACGAAUUGGGCUGGUAAAGAGAGGCUUGAAAGUGUUACUUACGCCUCAUUAAAAAUCUUGUCAAGAAAAUCCAUUGGGACAAAACUUGACAAGGGAAAAAGAGUGCAUAAGCAACACUUAACCCUUUACCGAACCUCUUGAGUCGUGAUCACUAUGAGUGAAGAUUGAACGACGUCUUCUUGAGUCUUGUUUAGCUCCUUUAGAAGUCCAUUGAUGGCUUGGUUGAACUUCUUAUUUCUUGAUCUUGUUAGAAGACCCGCCGGGACGAUCAAUGCUUCCU